Long non-coding RNA from Varroa destructor (honeybee mite), 1218 nucleotides. RefSeq lists it as uncharacterized. NCBI's taxonomy places the organism in Eukaryota, Metazoa, Arthropoda, Arachnida, Mesostigmata, Varroidae. The record is from RefSeq and is a predicted model, not a curated record.
UGAAAGCACGUGACUCCUGAAGAAACAAACGCUCAGGUAGAAACAACAGUUACUAUAUGAAAGCGUUUCGUCAGCUACCGGCAAUUGACACUGGGGACGACAGUUUUACGACGAGCUUUGUCACCUUUUUGUCGCUCAAUGGUUCAUAGACUUAUUGCUAGACUACCGCAUAAUGUUACGGCGCGUGCCAGCGGGGGGUCACGAAAAACGCAUACGACUGGAAGCCACUAUGAUCAAGCUUUUCUAGUAACUCUAAUAGUCUCUGACUUUUGUCGAAACGUGAAAAACCUGAAUACGCGUUAAAUCCCUUAUACGCAUAAAGUUAGGUCGUCCAGUUGCGCCCUUUGAGACCUUUCGGCAGUCCCUCCAAGCCUUUGGACUCGACGGGCUGAUAUCCUUUGAACAGGAUUUAGUUGGUUUGAAAGUUGGAACUUACACAGUAUCUAGUUUCUAGAUAGUUGUCGACAGUCUUAGAUGAGGCUAUCAUCAAGAUUUAUGAUAAGUGCUUUACUUGGAAUAUUUAACCAUUUAUUCCUACUGAGUUUAGUGAGCAGCUUAGCAAUGGUUCUUUUGAACCAUUGCAUAAGCAGACAGAUACUUGUCUUCAAAGCGACUCUUUAGAGAACUCGCGUGGAAUCCAUUCGUAGAUGAACGACGCUGCUGAUGCAGCUCUCUAGCUCACUAUAUGGUACAUCGGCUGAAACGAGUCAAAUGCCCCGCCGAGUUGACGAACGGGGCCCAUUUUAUUGGGCGACGUCAAGGAUUAGAGUGCAAUUGUGUUACCUGUUUGAACGGUUCGGAAGCUUUCCUCUGAGAUAAAGGCUAGACACCGCGGCGGAUCAAGUUGUUGCGGUCGCUACUGCUUUGAAUAAACCCGUCAGUUUAUUUAAGGUGGUUUAUUUAAGAGGAUGAACUGGUGUAGGCUGGACUGAGAUGACAUUGAACCGUCGAAGCCGUCCGACCCAUCUUACCCGUACGUAUAUACAUGCUUCGAAGGAAGUCAACUUGUCAGCCAGAAGAACACAGCCAAAUCAUCGAAGAAGAUGCUGUUCGACGUGCACAAACGAUAACAUACUCAAACGGUAACUAGGAGUGCGCCAACCCGACUCAUUGUCUAGAAAGCUGGCGAAACUUAUCGUUAUUGGAAUGCCUGACCAAAAGAGGAACAGCUCAUGUCGUCCCACGGUCCUCAAUUCAAAAGGACGGAACGCGAUUGAA